CUCACUUUGGCUGAGGAUGUGACUCAAGAGGGUGCCCAGCAGCAUUUCAGCUUGCAGCCAUAUGCAAAGGAACCAGAACACUGCUUUGGCAGAGGCACUGAGGACUGCAGUUUGAAGAGGCAGAUAGGCAACAUCUGUAGGCAUCAAGCAGCGGGUUAACCAUGUGGGAGAUGGGGGAAGCACAAAGUCUUAAUCACCCUUGUUUCAUUCCAGGCCAGACACCCCAUCAAGAGUUGAGAUAAAUGGCCCAGCGACAGGAAUUGUUUAAGUACGCGAAUGAAUGAGCAAUCAUCCAUGAGCAAAGCUGACGACUUAGCAUCUGGAUGCUGCUAUUUCAUGAAGACCACGCUACAUCCUCUGCAGUUCUUAACUGCUUUGCACCUUUUGUUGCAGACCGAUGGUCCUCUACCUUGAAGUCUUAUUGAAAAAAAAAAAAAAAAUAAGAGCAAACAUUUGCUUCGAGGUUGUGCAAACGCCUGUCCCUGUCUAUCUCCUUGAAUCUGUUGAUGCUGUCCCAACAGAGGAUGAUGAAAGGUCAUCAGCAGAAAAUCUAUUUUUUUAAUUUGGCCUUGGUCUGUGGAAGGAAAAUAAUAUUGCAACAUGGCUUACAUAAGAAUACAGGCCCAGGCAAAUUCAUUCAUGCGAUGAAAUCAUACAGCCUUCAAAUACUGCUGGCUCUCCAUGUUGGAAUAGAAUAAGGUGGAAAGAAUAUGUUGCCGAAGAGUACUAAUAACCAUCUGUACACAGAAUAGGUGAGGCCUACAGUCAACGGCAGGUCAUAAUUGCACAAAGUUGGGAAAAUUUUUCUCUAACAGCUUGCUCACUCAUCUUUACCCCAAAAAUGAGACAGAGGGGAGUCUCCAGCUUUCUCUCCCCCCAGGAUUUCUCACAGUAUCUGGGAUUGAAACCCCCCUUUUAUCCCUAUCCUUCAACUGUAUUGUUUCUCCUCGUUUCCUCACUGGCUGAAGUACUGAGGUUACAGACUUCCUGGUCCACCCAAUACACGUUCCCCCUUGUAUGUCAUCCCCUUUUGUAUCAUGUAUCAUGUGUGUAAUUAACUCCAACUUCAUGCAGCUCAGGGAGGAGAAGUUAAUUAUGCUACUAAAUCUGCUCAGCAUGUCCAAAGUUUGUAAGUUCAGUUGUUGACAGACCUUCAUAACUAAAAUCUUGUUUGGUAAGAAUGUACAGACACCAACAGGAGAGGAAUCUGCAAGCCUCUGCACAAGUUUGUGAGCAAGGGCAUCUUGUUUGCAAACCUCUGGGUAAAUAACAUUGUUAGCAAGGACAUCUUGUUUGUAAGCCUCUUUUGUUUCGUGUGAAGAGCAAAUGCAAGAUAUAAGGGAGCUAAUACUUUGGUUAUUGUAAAACCAUGUGCUUUAUAAGCACCAGUACCUAAUUAUGACCUUAAUUAUUAUAGUUCUGUGAAUUGUUAAAUAAAUGCUUUCUAAAUCACUAUGCAAAACUAUUGCAGCU
Gallus gallus (chicken) is the source of this 1473-nucleotide long non-coding RNA. RefSeq lists it as uncharacterized. NCBI's taxonomy places the organism in Eukaryota, Metazoa, Chordata, Aves, Galliformes, Phasianidae. The transcript is spliced from 4 exons. The record is from RefSeq and is a predicted model, not a curated record.